UUCCAUGGAGAGAGGAUUCCUCUUCCGGUUCGGAGGCGGAUGUUUAUGAGCAGGUUUGACAGGCGGGAAGCUCCGGGAGCGGCCGACUGUUUUCCUUCUAGGCUCUUCAGGCAAGCAGCUGAGUUUGGGGGCCAUUGCCAUGGACCCGCUCUCAGAGUUGCAGGAUGACCUGAAUUUGGAGGACACCAACCAGUCCCUGAGCCAGCUCAAAUUGGCUUCCUUAGAUGAUAAGAACUGGCCAGCAGAUGAAGUGCCUGUUUUUCCCAAGUCAGAGGACACUAACAACUCCCCUGAGCCCAUCACUCACCUGCGCUGGGAUGAUCCAUACUACGAUAUUGCUAGGCACCAGAUUGUGGAAGUAGCAGGUGAUGACAAGUAUGGACGGAAAGUCAUUUUGUUCAGUGCCUGCCGGAUGCCGCCCAGCCAUCAACUUGACCAUGUGAAACUACUGCAAUAUCUUAAGUUCACGCUGGAUCAGUAUGUGGAGAGUGACUACACAUUGGUGUAUCUGCACCAUGGCCUCACCAGUGAGAACAAGCCGUCCCUGAGCUGGCUGCGGGAUGCCUACCGGGAAUUUGACCGCAAGUACAAGAAGAACAUCAAAGCACUGUACAUUGUGCACCCAACAAUGUUCAUCAAGACUCUGCUGAUUCUCUUCAAGCCUCUGAUCAGUUUCAAGUUUGGACGGAAGAUUUUUUAUGCAAACUUCCUGAGUGAGCUGGAGGAGCAUGUGAAGCUGGAGCAGCUGGGGAUCCCAAGCCAGGUGCUAAAAUAUGACGAGUACCUGAAAUCACUGCAGAAACCCUCUCAAGUGCCCCAGAAGCCGCCACCCCCACGCCCACCCCUGCCAAACCAGCAGUUUGGGGUCUCUCUGCAGCACCUCAGGGAGAAGAGCUCUGAUCAGGCCCCCAUCCCGCUGGUGGUCAGGGAAACCAUUGCCUAUCUGCGGGAGCAUGCUCUGACCACAGAGGGGAUUUUCCGGAGAUCAGCUUCCACACAGAUUGUGAAAGAGGUCCAACAAAAAUACAACAUGGGGAUACAGGUGGAUUUCCAGCAAUACAGUGACAUUCACCUUGCUGCCGUGAUCCUCAAGACAUUCCUGCGGGAGCUGCCAGAGCCCCUGCUCACCUUUAGCCUCUACAACCACGUCGUCAACUUCCAGAAUGUGGAGGAGUCGAAUCGCGUGGAUGUUGUUCGCAAAACCCUCCAGACCCUGCCCGAGGAAAACUACCAAGUGCUCCGUUUCCUGAUGGCCUACCUGGCAGAGGUCUCCACUCACAGUGAUGUAAACAAGAUGACGAACACCAACCUGGCCGUGGUUUUCGGCCCAAAUCUGCUGUGGGAUAAAGAUGUAGCCAUCACCCUCAAGGCCAUCAACCCCAUCAACACCUUUACCAAGUUCCUGCUGGACUAUCAGGGAGAGGUGUUCCAGGAUGUGGAGGCCUGAGCCGGGGCCCGUCCACACUAGCACACUGUGCCCACCUUCCCUCUCCCUCUUCCUAUCUUGUUGGAGCCAUGGCCAGGAGCCUCCAGCACAGAGGGUCCAUUGGAGCUGCUGAGCUGACACAGGAACACUCCUGGGUCCCUUGUUUGUCUGCUGGCCAGUCUCUGAUCCCGGCUGGUGAGUGGAAUUUUUUCCAGCAAAAAUAUAAGUCAGAAUGUGGCCUGAAGGGAAGGGCCUGUGCACUGAGGCCAAACGUUAGCCAGUGUGCGAGGCCUGGAUCGCAGGAACCUUCCCAGGUGCUGAGCUCUCAUGUGCCAAAGCCACUAGGGCAGAACUGUGCCAUGCAGCAUUCCCCUAGCCUUUCAGGGGAGCUGCUUUGAUGCACUCCUUAUGUGCUAGGCAGCUAGGGAGGGAGCUGGCUCUCUACAGGCCAGGCUCAGGAACAGAGCAGGCCAGAUCCCCUCCUGAGGCAGUUGCACUGCAGUCACUGCCUCAGGGUUGAUUUUAGUGUGGAGCGAUCCCCGCUGCCUCUGCCACAUGCUAAAGUAACAGAGAGCUAGUGUUUCCUGGCCAUGGCUUCCAUGCUUGAGCGAUACUCUCCGUUUCUAGCCUCAUUCCCCAAGACCCAUAAUUCUCGUGCCCUGCUCCCCCAGGCCAGUCCUGGUCCCAGCUGCGCCACAGCAGUGGGGAAACAUUGGGACCAAGCAGAGCUCGUUUUAUAAAGUGGCAGUGGAUCUGCUUUUAAUAGGAUUUUAACCUGCCCUAGAAUCUGACCGAAGGCUGAUAUCCUGAUAUAAAAAUACGACAAACUACUGAUGAGCAUCAACAACAGGAAGGGGGUCUCCUCUGCGAGGCCCAGGAGCAGGGACCUAGAACUGGCAAGAACUGUCAGGCCUGCAGUGCAACCCAGGCCCAGUUCAGCAGCUCUAGCUAUUGCUGAUUGAUUGACUGCUCUUGGGAUGACCCACAGAAGGGUGAGCUGGGCAAGUGGAGGAGCGGAGAAUUCUGAGGAGGGCUGGAGAACAGGCUGUGCACAGCUUGGAGCCACCCAUCCCACCCUGGCUACCGAGUGAAUCUCUCUGGUGGGGAGGGACCAGGCCUGGAGCUGGACAUGCUGGUGUGAGAGUUGAAUUUCUGGGACACGAAUGCCCUUUGCUGUGAAUAAGUCCAUAGUGAUGGUUUGGGUGGGUCACAGAGGGCUUCUAGUUCACUUUGACUUCUGCUAGAUCCAGCAUGGAGGAUAGAUCUGCCAUGGAGGCUUCUUGGGAAAGCUGGAGGGACUCAGUGCUCCUAUUGAGGUCAGGGGUGGGGCAGUGUAGGAAGAGCCCUACGCUUGCCCCAUGUUAGGCCAUGCUUAGUGGGAUGCUCUGGAAAGGGGUGUUGUCUGCAUGAUCGCAUAUCACAGCUUCUGUCUCCCCACUCUAAAGGGAGCAUCCUCUCCUGCAUGUAUUUCAGAGUGAAGCUAAGCUGGGUUUGCUGAUGUUAUCCAGGCCAUAGCUAAAUGUUUCUUGGCUUCACUGUCCCCAGAGGAAAGGAAAAGCCUGCUGGCCUCCUUGGGAACAGGCAGAAUCUUAAGGCCAGUAGCCCAGAACAGAAAUUCCUCAUGGGCUGGGGCACAAGGACCUGGCUGCAGGCUCAGCUGCUGCUACCUGCAGUGAGUUCCAGCUGGGAGCACUGAAUCCUGGUCUGCUCGGUGUUGAAAAAAGCAGGGCUGGACAGCCGAGGGGCAGGGGCAGGCUGAGGCUGCACUUGGGGAAGGCAUUUCCUUAGCCUCCCAGAGACACUUUAACAAAAAAAAUUCUAAGUAGUUAAAAUUCCUGAGUUUAUGGGCUUUCCCACUGAGUGUAACGGGACCUGCUGCAAAUCCCUGUGCUAGGGGAUAACCCAGCUCCUGGGGCAGAGCCCUGCAUAGGCAAGGGAGUUGACUUGGAGAAAAGGCAGGCUCUUGGUACUGCAGAUGGUGGGAAUGGGCUCGCAAGGUCUUGGGAGCGCUCCAGUGUAAAUAUUCCUUUACCCACCCUCUGCCUGGUCCCCCAGUGCUGCCAAGAGGCCUGGAACAGGCAUAGCAGUGGUGGCUACUUUGUUUCUGCAAUUUAUGCUUUGGGAUGCCUUUUACGAAGACACUACUCUUGUGGCUUGUGUGUGAAACUGUGGCCUGGGCCUGACUGCAGCCCUUGGCUCCCCACGCCAGGUGGCAGGUGGGCAACUGAGUCCAUGUCUCUGCCAACUCAGGACUGAAUUGCCUUCCUAGUCUAUCUGCCUCCUUGGGUGUACGGCCUGAGGCAGAGCUGGGAGGGAGGCAGCAUGCAGGUAGCUGGAGUGGCUAGAGGACCAGCCUUGGCCCAAGAGACUAGGCUCUAGUCCUUGCUACCUGUAAGAGGCGGUUGGUGGCAGGUUAGGGACCCAUGGUUACUCUGUGUAUUUGUCUCCCAUAAUGUGUCCUACUCCUGGGUACAGCUGCCCAAGAGCCCCUUCCCCAGGCUUCCAUAUUAAAUAUUGGCCACAGUGGCCCUUUGAGGGUGACAUGUUUUGUCUCCUCUCUGUGCCCUGCUCUGCAGCACCCAAUUUCCCUCCUCCCCUCAUUCCAGUGGUGUCUGAGCAGCCUGGGCCAGACUUCACAACUGGCCCCAGCUGUCAGCCCUCUGUCCGUCUCUUCUGGAAACAGAGCCUUUGGGUGAUGCAGGUGAGGGCAAGGUCAAUUUGAUGCCUUAUGGUAACCCCUCUGCUGACUCAGCAGAGACCUCUGAGGGACAAACUAGCCCCUGGUUGCUCUUUCAAGCAGUGGUGCUUUAGUGCAAUUUACAGCUUUGCUUUUUGUUGCUGGUGUUCCCUGCCUUCUCUCCAGUUGAUGUUCAGCAGGUAAGGGCUGGGGUUUUUACGGUGACAUUAAUUCACAUCCAUGUUUAUUUCCUUCUACACUGCACCAAUCUUGUAUUUCACAGUUUGCACUUUUUGUAUUUCAAUAAAAACCAAAACUCAGCCCCA
RNA transcript from Chelonoidis abingdonii (Abingdon island giant tortoise), 4429 nucleotides. It is a transcript of the gene named Rho GTPase activating protein 1, with no coding region annotated. The record is from RefSeq and is a predicted model, not a curated record. NCBI's taxonomy places the organism in Eukaryota, Metazoa, Chordata, Testudines, Testudinidae.